CACCAUUACCACCAUUAAUUACAAUCAUAAUCAGUUGUUGGCAACAUCAUCACUACAUCGCCAAAUUCACCAAUGUCAUCACCAUAAUAACCAUCAUCUUUACAAUCCCUCUUAUCAUUACGACCAUAGUUGGAACAACCACCACCAUUUUUACAAGUGUUGGACACUAGGGGAGGCAACCCUGAACCACCACCCCCCACCCCCCCUUGAAAGUCUGAAUGAUAGCUGAAUAACUGUGUAGCAUAGCUGUGACAAUAAUGUCAUCCAUGGAAACAUUGAUAGACUGAAAAAUAAGCUAUUGCAUGAAAUUUAAGUCAAAAUAUUUUAAAGAACGAACAUUUCUAGCUAGAAAAAGUGGUCAUUAGGUCAUAUGUUGCAAUAACUCCCCUCUGACCCCCCAAUAUUUGUGCCACUGAUUAUGACCAUUUUUAUCACUGCUAUUAUUCUCGUCAUCUAUUGACUGUUGAAAAUUUUGUAAACUGUCGCUGCUCAAUUAUCCCUGAGGGCAGCCGAUAUGAGCUUUGGGAAACACUAGAUGAAAUCCUACAUUUCAUAUAUUUAUUAAACCUUUUGAAAACCGCCGUCUAGACGUUGUUAAUCUAAUCCAAGUUUCCGCGAAAUCUUAAGAAUCGUGUUCCAUAGAUAAAUCAUCAAAAUAUCGUUUGUACUCGAGCAUCUGGUACCUUUCAAAUAAAUCUCUGCAUGUCCUUCACUGUUUGUGUUUUAACUUUUCAAGUGAGUCAUUGAACCCUUUUCAUGAAAAGUUGAACAUAUCUAUCCAAAACCAUGAAAAUCUGAAAUAUAAUUACAUUUCCUAAUACACAGCUUAGUUCUUUAAAAACACAACCAAGGAUAUCCUUCAUGUGAAAUACGAUUGGUUUAUAGUAACCAUAUUUCAUCCUUUGAAAUAACAAAACCAACGGACAAAAGAACAUCGACUCAAUCAUUUAAUCAGAUAAUGUUUUGCGUGGGUUCUGAGUUG
Molecule: non-coding RNA, 982 nt
Organism: Paramuricea clavata
Lineage: Eukaryota; Metazoa; Cnidaria; Anthozoa; Malacalcyonacea; Plexauridae
Source: the annotation of a GenBank genome assembly